Molecule: long non-coding RNA, 242 nt
Filed under: Brassica napus (rape)
Lineage: Eukaryota; Viridiplantae; Streptophyta; Magnoliopsida; Brassicales; Brassicaceae
Description: long non-coding RNA (BNAP_LNC014770)
Source: RNAcentral
GUGUUAACCCCUACAAAAUAUUCAGUUUUUCGAUAAAUGGUUAAUAUACUGAAGCCUAUAAUAUUUAGUGUUUUAAAAUUUCUAACCACAUUCUACGUUUGUAUUAAUGUAUUCUAAACUCUCUUUCAUGGUACAUGGGCAUCGUUCUAUUUUUUUUAUCAGUUAAUUUAGUAAAACUUCAUAUGCUCCAUAAAUCAAUGGACAGAACCACAAUAAAAUCUCUAUUCUAGAGAAACGGAGAC